GAUGAACGCUCGCGGCGUGCCUAAUACAUGCAAGUCGAGCGAACGGACGAGAAGCUUGCUUUUCUGAUGUUAGCGGCGGACGGGUUAGUAACACGUGGAUAACCUACCUAUAAGACUGGGAUAACUUCGGGAAACCGGAGCUAAUACCGGAUAAUAUUUUGAACCUCAUGGUUCAAAAGUGAAAGACGGUCUUGCUGUCACUUAUAGAUGGAUCCGCGCUGCAUUAGCUAGUUGGUAAGGUAACGGCUUACCAAGGCAACCAUGCAUAACCGACCUGGGAGCGUGGCCGGCCCCACUGCAUGUGGCCACCCGUUGAAAUUCCUACGGGGGAGAGCAGUCGCCGAUUGUCCGCCAGGGGAGAACUCCUGACGCUGCAACGCCACGUAGGUAAUCACUGUCUGCGGAUCGUAAAGCUCUUUUUUCAGAGACUAAUAGUUGUGUAAGUACCUGUCCACAGUGUGAGGGUACCCAGCCAGAAAGCCAGGGCUACCAACG
Molecule: ribosomal RNA, 495 nt
Filed under: uncultured bacterium
Lineage: Bacteria
Description: partial 16S ribosomal RNA
Rfam family: Bacterial small subunit ribosomal RNA
Source: RNAcentral